RNAcentral lists this ribosomal RNA (1174 nucleotides) under human gut metagenome. RNAcentral's name for it is "bacterial LSU rRNA". It matches the Rfam family "Bacterial large subunit ribosomal RNA", at positions 1322 to 2503 of the family's 2925-position model. The record is from RNAcentral.
UGAGAAUCCUGUCCACCGUAUGACUAAGGUUUCCUGGGGAAGGCUCGUCCGCCCAGGGUUAGUCGGGACCUAAGCCGAGGCCGAUAGGCGUAGGCGAUGGACAACAGGUUGAUAUUCCUGUACCAGUUGUUUUUGUUUGAGCAAUGGAGGGACGCAGUAGGCUAAGGAAUGCAUGCGAUUGGAAGUGCAUGUCCAAGCAAUGAGUCUUGAGUAGAGUUAAAUGCUUUACUCUUUAAGGACAAGUUGUGACGGGGAGCGAAAUAAUAGUAGCGAAGUUCCUGAUGUCACACUGCCAAGAAAAGCUUCUAGUGAGAAAACAACUGCCCGUACCGUAAACCGACACAGGUAGUCGAGGAGAGUAUCCUAAGGUGAGCGAGCGAACUCUCGUUAAGGAACUCGGCAAAAUGACCCCGUAACUUCGGGAGAAGGGGUGCUGACUUCGGUCAGCCGCAGUGAAUAGGCCCAAGCGACUGUUUAUCAAAAACACAGGUCUCUGCAAAAUCGUAAGAUGAAGUAUAGGGGCUGACGCCUGCCCGGUGCUGGAAGGUUAAGAGGAUGGGUUAGCUUCGGCGAAGCUCAGAAUUGAAGCCACAGUAAACGGCGGCCGUAACUAUAACGGUCCUAAGGUAGCGAAAUUCCUUGUCGGGUAAGUUCCGACCCGCACGAAAGGCGUAACGAUUUGGGCACUGUCUCAACGAGAGACUCGGUGAAAUUUUAGUACCUGUGAAGAUGCAGGUUACCCGCGACAGGACGGAAAGACCCCAUGGAGCUUUACUGUAGUUUGAUAUUGAGUGUUUGUACCACAUGUACAGGAUAGGUAGGAGCCGAUGAGACCGGAACGCUAGUUUCGGAGGAGGCGCUGGUGGGAUACUACCCUUGUGUUAUGAACCCUCUAACCCGCACCACUAAUCGUGGUGGGAGACAGUGUCAGAUGGGCAGUUUGACUGGGGCGGUCGCCUCCUAAAAGGUAACGGAGGCGCCCAAAGGUUCCCUCAGAAUGGUUGGAAAUCAUUCGAAGAGUGUAAAGGCAGAAGGGAGCUUGACUGCGAGACCUACAAGUCGAGCAGGGACGAAAGUCGGGCUUAGUGAUCCGGUGGUUCCGCAUGGAAGGGCCAUCGCUCAACGGAUAAAAGCUACCCUGGGGAUAACAGGCUUAUCUCCCCCAAGAGUCCAC